AAGUAUUCUGUUGAUCAGCUGUCUGUCAUUUUCUUGUUAUUUCUUAUACUUCUUUGUAACGUGUGUCUGUGGAGUGCCGAUUAUCUCUGUAAUGGCAAACAAUGAUCAUCCUUUCUUAAUGAAGGAGGUGGAAUGUUGAGUUGUUGACAUGCUACUGUUGGAAUUUGAAGUAUCUUCUCAACCAAUGAUUAUGUUGUAACAUUUUUACAUAUCUCAAAUUCUCAAUCAACAUGUAACUCUUGUUUAUACCCUUUCCUACAACACAAAUUUCAUUGCUUGCAAAAGUGAAGAUUUUGACCCUCAAACCAUACCAUGUUUGGCACUUCAAUGACAGGGUGAAGAGUAGUUGGGUACUGCGAUAUCCUGCCACGAUGGUUGCUAUCACAAGAGCAUUCCUCCGGUGGCAGUUUAUUUGUUAAAUUGCUAGCACUUUGAAUCAAGAUUCUCUGUUCAACACGCGCAGGGAAUGAAAAGCAGAAAUCACCAGGUUCCUAUUCUUUUUCUUGGUCUUUAUAGGGAGCUUUUCAUAUAAAACUGUUUCCGGCUACUUUUUCCAAGCAUCAUGUACUGUCUCCUUGGUUUGCUUGAUUGAAAAAAAAACACCAUCACUGCAAAGCAAUUACACAGAAAAUGGUGUUAUCAUCGAGAGUUUUAUUUUCCCUUGUAGAGUUUUUGGAUGUAAAAAUACUUGUCACAUAAGUAGUUGAUAGCGACGUGCAAGAAUUUUGUACAUACACACACAAUACUGUAUAGAAACAUUUUUUUUACUCGACUACACAUGCACAUAGUCACAAUGUUUUUGUAUGAAGGAAUUAAAUUUUGUUUGAGUUAUUUUUUAUUUAAGAAAUUAAACCAGGAAAUUUUGUUUAACAUUGAGUUGAUAUGUUAAACAGUAUCACAAAAAUAUUAGUAACUCAAUAGAGGGAGGGAAAGAAAGUAAGAAACUAAUAUUCCCUUUGCCGAUAAGAACUAUAGGUUUAUAUAUGUUUCCUAGCCUUGGCAUUGUUUAAUAUAACAUCCAAUUCAUUAAUUAGAACAAAAUAGCAGCACCAGCUCUUUCGUUCUCUUAUAAACGGGGACACUGCUAUUAACCACCGAAGCAUGACAGGUUUGGAUUAUUAAUGCUUCACGAUUUCCACUUUUAAAACUCAAAACACAUCAAUUCGUUAGUAUAAGAGUAGCUCAUGUUGUGUAAAACUAAAAUACAGUCUUUGAGAAUUUAUUUGCUUGGGGCAAAAAAUCUUGAUAACUUAACAAUCAUUUCAUGAUUUGAACUAGGUUGCAGAACAACAAAAUAAAUUAUCACCAAAUAGUGAGGAAAAGUUUUUUUUACCUUACAAAAAGGAGGGAGGCAAUAGGCUAUGGAGUUUUCAAAAAGUUACUGCCUAUCAUUAAUGUGAAACAUAAAUGCAAAGAAUAAACAAUGACAAAACUGAAAUUUUCUUUUCAAAGAACACUGCGGAGCAUACAAAAAGGCAACUGGUUCAUGCUUCUAGUUUCAAGGAAACAAAAGAUCUUGGAGAGUACCUUGGAAUCCCUUUAUCGGGCAGAUCGCCUAUGAGAGGAGAUUAUCAAUACAUUAUUGAUCAGGUUAAGGCAAAGUUGGAAGCCUGGAAAAGUGAUCAUCAGUCAUUUGCUGGGAGAGUCACUCUAGCUAAAACAGUUAUCGAAGCCACCCCCACUUAUUCUAUGAUGACCAGUACCCUGCCAAAAGAUAGUCUGAAAGAGAUUCAGAAGAUUCAAAGGUCCUUUAUUUGGGGAGAUUUUGAAGCCGAUAAGAAAGCUCAUACAGUUAGCUGGGACAAUAUUACUAAGCCUAAGAAUAUGGGAGGAUUAGAAAUAAGAAACCUUACUGACAUGAACAAGGCGCGUCUCUUCAAACUUGGAUGGAGUUUAAGAAGUGGUGAUAAUUCUGUGUGGUGCCAAGUCCUGCAGGGAAAAUAUGGAAGAAAAGAUGGAAGUCUCAUUGAUCUGGCAACCAAGGCCUAUGAUUCUAGCUUAUGGAAAUCAAUAGAAAAUAUCUGGCCUGAGGUGAACAAUAUGGUGCAGUGGAGAGUUGGAAACGGACAGAGAGUCAAUGUUUGAAAGGAUGCUUGGAUUCCAACCGAAAAUACGUUGGAAGUGUUUGAAACAAGCAACACCGAGGAUAACCACAUGGAGCAUGUUAAGGAUCUCCUUGAUGAUAGGCGUGAUUGGAACUUGGAAAUGCUUAACAGAACUUUCCCUCAAAAUAUAGUAGAUGUUAUCUUGACUGAAAAGCCUCCUAAUCAGGAGAGAGGUGUUGAUAUCUGCAUUUGGAAAGGGAACCAUUCAAGUUUGUUCUCCAUCACAAGUGCUUAUGAGUUAAUAAGAUGUAAAGACCUUGGUGAUAACUCAGGAUUGGAUUAAAAUCUGGAAGCUGGAUGUUCCUGAGAGAGUUAGAACCUUUGUUUGGUUGGUGAAAAACAAUAGCUUAAUAACCAACCAAUGGCUCUAUAUAAGGAACUUAAAUUCGCAAUUCUGCAAUGAUUGUUAUGGUGAAGAGGAAUCCGUUAUUCACGUGCUUCGUGACAUGUGAAAACCAUCUGGUGUGAACUAGUGGAGGAUCAAUACUUGCAAAUAUUUUUCAACUGUAACCUGCAGGAUUGGAUUUUUAUCAACCUUUCAGGCAUAACAGAUAAAUAUUGGAGCAGCCAUAAGUUUUGGUACCAGAAGAAUCAGAGGAAACACAAUAAAGACUAUGUAAUGCCUUACAACUUGAAGAACAACAUCUGUAGAGAAGUGGCUCGGUACAAAGAGAGUUGUUCUCUGUUAAAGAAGGUUACUCAACUGCGGAAAGUCAUACAAAUGAUCAAGUGGACACCUCCCAACGAAGCAUGGUUUACGCUGAAUACUAAUGGAGUUGUCAAGAAGAACAAGGAAGCAGGGUGCAGGGGCUUAACUCAGGAGCUUGGCGUGGAGGUUUUUCCCACAGAAUGGGAAUAGCUUCAACUCUUGAGUCUGAGCUGAAAGCAAUACAAAUUGGUCUUCACCUGCCUAUGAUAGUGGAUACUGAAAAAUUCACUUGCAAAUUGAUAACAAGGAUGUUUAUCAUGCUCUCACUAGGAAUAAGCCGAUCACCAUGUUUAACAAAAAUAUGCUAGUGAACAUGGAGCAGAAGCUGAGCAGAGAUUGGGAUAUAAGAGUAUCCCAUGUUUACAGGGAGGCAAACAAAACUGCGGAUGCUUAGCCAACCUAAGUUUCAACCAUGACACCGGAAUCUUUUUGUAUGACAGCUGUCCUAUGGAGGUGACUCCGUCCUUUUUGUUGGAUUUGGUAGGGGAGGUCUCUCCCCGGGUCGUUCGUGUGUAGUUUCUCUUUGUUCUGGACUUUUAUCCCUCCCUUUUAUCAAAAAAAGAAAUAAAUCAAAACACGUACAAAGUAUAACUUAACAACUUAUGAUAUCUACGGUUUCUAUAGUAAUAGAACAUUUCUUAACGCACCCUAUAUGUUUCUACUGCACCAUGCAAAAUUUAAAAAAUGUUCCCAGUUUCUGGAGAUGCAUCUCCGGACGCAUCCAAUGCAUACAAUUCAUUCGUUUUUAAAUCAAACCCCAAUUUUAUGGAUAAAUUAAUUUCAGAAAUGUAUUUUCGGAAAAUUUCCGAAAAUAUAUUUCCGAAAAUAGCAAUGUUAACUUUUUGCACUUGCAAACGAAGCUUGGCAAUCCUAGCAUUGGAGCUUCUCUUAGACACUACUACUGAUGGGAAAAUUAUCUUCCAAGCCAAAUUUAAACGCUCCAAUAAACUCAUAUUAACAGCAUCAAGGAGAAAGUUCUCGGCUUUUUGGCUAACUCCACGCAUAUUGCUUCGUACAAUGGCCAUGGUAGAAUGUUUUGGAGUGAAUUCAGAUCUGCUGGAUCCUCCAGUUAAGAAACAAUGAAAAUUAAGAGAUGAACAGGACGCCAUUUUCAAACAUUUUAUAAAUCUUGUAAGGAUUUUUAUUUGCGAAAACAUGAACAUUUAUCAACAGUGUAACAUUUAAGAAGUCAAGCCUCAACUAACUAAAACAAUUUCAGCUAUAAAUAUAAUUGAAUAACAUUAUAUAGAACCUUUUUCACCUAUACAAAAUAUCAGAAAGGAAAACAUAUGUAUUGCAUUCUCUUUUAGCAACUGAAGUAAAUAGCACAAAAUGGCAAAAUAGCAAAGUGUAGGUAGAAAGUUAACAUUGCUGCUUCCGGAAAUAUAUUUUUGGAAAUUUUUCGAAGAUGCAUUUCUGGAAUAAAUUUAUCCAUAAAAUUGGGGUUUUAUUUAAAAACGAAUGAAUUGUGUGUCUUGGGUGUGUCCGAAAAUGUAUCUUCAAAAAUUGAGGGUAUUUUUGGAAAUUCGCGUGAUGCAGUAGAAACAUAUAGGGUGCGUAAAGAAAUACUCUAACAGUAUACGCAAAUAGAGACAUAAUGGAGGCCCAAUCAUAACACUCUUUCUUAGUAUAGUAGUAAGAAAAGUUUUAAGGGGGUGGCAGGAGUAAUAGAAACUGAGAGUAGUGUAGAAAAUAUAACAGAAAGAGAGAGAAAACGAGGGAAAAUGUAAUCUCUAUAUAUUUUGUAUAUUUCAUCAAAUGUGAGUUAGUUACAUAAUGCUGAGGAAUGAGUAUUUUUUUUCCGUGGUUUAAUUAUUAUUUAGUUGUUCGUUUUGUUGCAAUUCACAAAGAUUCAUUCUGCUUUGUAAUUUGAAAAAUCACAGAAACUACUUUUCUCUUGAUUCUGGAAUUUGACAGAAUAAUAAAAUAGAUCCAACUUUAUGAGGCUUAUACUUUGCAGCUUUUCCAACCGGAUCUGCUUCAUUACAUUUCAAUGGAAUCUUAGACAGUUAAUGACCCUUUAUGUCAUUUUAAAGUAAAUACAUUUCUUCACAAAGAAGCAUGAACACUUCACAUGGGAUCAAGAAACGGAUGCAUAUCUUUGUGAUAUCAUAUUCUUGAUUCUUAAUUUAUACAUUAAACAUUUGACUUUGAAUAGGUCAUAUGUAACCUCCCAUACAGUAAGUCAAUGUAUGCCAGCACAUAGCUUCUAUUUGUCUGCAAGUUUUAUCACCCAACAUUGUAGGGUAUAGACAUGAAAGUUAAGAUAUGUCAAACAAGUAUGCACAGGCCCUGCCCCGCAAAAGUUUGCAAAAAAACGGGGUGGGACGAGAUGGACAUAUUAGAGAGUGCAGAUCUAAAACUUUGGUCCGUCCUGUAAAAAAGUUCGGAUAAAAUAGAUAUGUCUAACAGGCUGAGUCCAUUUUAUCACCCUAAUAAGGAGUAUCUUUUAUACAAACAUUUCUCCGUCCUCUUAACUAAUCAACCACUUACAUUCACUUAUAGAAAAAGUUAUUGACAAUUAAUGUUAAAAGUUGCAUUUGGUCAAUGCUCAAUAGCAAGUUCUUCUUUGAUGAGUUUUAGCUCUUUUUGUAGUCCAAUAAUUUUGUCUGUUGUUUUAAGUGGAGAAUCAUAUCACCAUGAAUGAGGCCAAAGUCAAUUGGAUUGAUGGUUCAAAUCAAUGCACUAGAAGUGAAAGAUGAUUACUGUGAGUGUGAAGUGCCCUUAUCGGCAUUACCUUAGUUCAUGGAAGGAAUAUUGAUUUGCUACUUCUCAAUGUGAAUUCUCUUUUCCCUACAUAAUCAUUAGUGGCACUUUUCUCUUUAUUACUUGCAAUUUAAGCCACACAAACCGUUGCUAAAGCAUUUUCAUGUGCUAAUAUGAUUAGUUACCAUUGUUCUUUUUUACCACAUAUUUUUUAGGAGGAAGUUGAUUCAUUUAAUUUGAGAUUUAUUUUGGUUCAGAAUUGUUGGCCAAUCUAAUCACAGAUAAUGAGAAAGUCGGAAAGGUAAAACAAAUUCAUGUAUAUUCGAAUAUCCAUUUUGUUCACAUAUCACUUCUAGUAGUUGACUCAUGCAGGUAGCAUGAUUAUAAAUUUCCGUGUGCAAAUUUAAAUUUGAGCCACAACUUUGAAGUUUUGGAGGUACUCCAAGUGUAAGUUUGGAGUCAAAAACAAUUUUGAAAGUGUAAAAUUAAUUUUGAUAGUUUUGAGAUGUAUGGUUAUUCUCUGCCACUAGAAUUAUUCUAUUUGAAAUUAGAAUUUAUAAUUUCUAAGUUUAAACAUGAUUUUUAUAUUGGAAUUUAGUGUUCAACUCAGUUUUGUAUAAUAUUAUCAAAACAUAAAUCACUUUAUAUUCAACUCAAUUUUGCAUAAUGCUAUCCAAACAUAAAUCACUUUACCUUCAAUUCACUUUUAACCAUAAUCAAUUUUAUAGAAACAAUUCACUCAAAAUUAAUUUUUUCCACCCUAUGAGGUGUGUCCCACACUUCUGAAUGAGGUGUGUCUCACACUUUUGAAAACUCGAAAAUACAUUUCACGUGUCUCGAGAUGCAUCCAAGGAUGUACGUAAAAUCAAAUCAACCCUCGUAAUUCAGUCACACGCCUUAGUUUUGCAAAAUCUUGAUACAAAGACGCAUCUCUGUAAAUUUUUUGGAAUGAAUACGGAGAUACAAUUCCGUAACCCUCUGAAUUUAUUUUAAAUUAUUGGAAGCGCGUUUAUUGUAUAUAACAGAGGAUAUUUCGUAAAUUAUUGGAAGCGCGUUUAUUGUAUAUAACAGAGGAUAUUUCGGAGAUACAUCUCAGUAUAUUCUCAUGAGUGCAUUCUAGGCAACAACGUUGUCUAAAAUUUAUCAUUUUUUAGGCCAAUUUAUAUUUUAGGUAAUUUUAAGUCAUAAAUUAGAAAAUUCAUACAUUAAUUGAUUAAAAUAUGUUACACAUACAUUUUAAAAGUCAUUCAUUAGUCAAAGUAAAUUCACAAUGUGUCGACCAUACAUAACUUGAUUCGAAAAUACAAAAAAAAAUACAAUCAAACAUAAACUACUCAGUAUGUCUAACCCCCCGGUUUCUCCCCCUAUACUACAAGGCAUUUUGUAUCUCGACAAUAAUGCCUUCUACGAGGGUCAAUUGGGGGUUGCCUUCCUAAAAAAGUCCAACCUCUAUGCUCAAUCUCGCCAAAUCAUAAUAUGUCGACAAACACUGCUUACGUCCCGGGUGUGGUCAUCUUUAUCCUAUAGUACCUCUUAAUUAGAAGGCCUAUGUGGUCUUCUAAGAGCGUCUGAUGUCAUGAUAGGAAGUGACACCAUAUAGAACCAUGUCAUGUAGUCGUCUACAUUAGCACAAUGUGCAAGAGCUGGCACUCUACGAUAGUCCUAUGGUACCAAUGAUUAUCGAAAUCCUCAAGUAUGACAUCAACCUCUUUGCGAUGGACGAUGGGAGGUGCAGACUCUGAGAGGUGUCUCAGAAUAAUCUACAAAUACACAAAUUGGCGUAUCACUCACUUGGGAAGAUACAUAUAUAUCAGAGCUGACCCGCAAGCCGGUUAUUCAGAGUAUAAUAAAAUGACGUAAAUCUGACGCGUCUCGCGGUGACCACUGUAUGGGUAGCAAUGUCAACUGCUACAUGUAGGUCAAGAUACACCCAUAAUGGCACAAAUAUGAACAUGUCAACCAGGAACAAGAGGUAACACCUCAUUGCAUAUUGUCGGUGGUACUCAACCCGCAUAUCAUCAUUGCCGGCAUCCAAAAUCAUCUAUAAAUGGUCUUUAUACAAUUCUGUCAAGAACUUAAAUCUAGCAUGAGCACCUCUGGUGUCAUCUACCUCAUUCGUGAUCUCAGUUGGGUAAACUCCCAAAUGGGUGACCAUCAUCUUGACGACUUCGUCUCGACUGAUCCUUCAAUGGUCCAAUAUUUUCCUCAUAUGGGAAGAUGCAGGAGGCAUGAGACGUCAUCCAAGGUGAUGAUCAUCUCACCAAUUGGAAGGUGGAAAAACGACGUCUCUGAAUUCCAUCUCUCUACAAAUUCCGUCUGCAUGCCAUGGUUUAUGGUAGUGUACGCAAAAACACAUAAGUCGGUAAGCACAUAGUAGCGGAUAACAUCUUAAAGCAGUCAGCGUCGGUCUGUUCCACUUCCAAAAUCUUUCUUUAGUGGUUUACAAAUUUUAAACAUGGACACUAUUGUAAAUAUAUAUAUAUAUAUAUAUAUAUAUAUAUAUAUCACCAUCAGUCGUGAUUAAAUUAGUUUAAAACCGAUGUAAUGCAAAAUUAAAUAAAUAUACCUCUCCUUUCUAGAAAUUACCUAGCAGCAUGGUCUCCAUAGAGAUGAAGUAAGAAGGUGUCAAAUGGACCUCCUGGAUAACUAUCUAUAUGAGCAUUAGCAGCAGGUUCCUCAUAGGCUUCAAGGGUGUCCCGUGAAGCUGAUUCUUGAGACCGACAACUACGGGAAGUAAAACCAGAUGGUUGUGGACCUCGACCUUGUAAACCAUCAAAUGAGGUAUCAUCGACUCGUGGCCCUGCCCAUGGCCCUUUCACGUAGAUACACAUUUUGGGACACACGACCGAGCCUAAUUCGGUCUUGGUUGUUUCCAACCAUUACACCUGUAAUGAAACUAAAAAAAUCACAUCAAAUUGUAACCAAAAUGCAGCCAAUCUAAAUCCUGAGAUAUAUCUUCGAAAACAGUCCAUAAAAAUUUAGGAGACGCAUCUCCGGAUGAACUCAUAAUUUUCAGCAAUGGAAGAAACCCCAUUGAUGCCCUAAAUUCCAACCAAAUGAAAAUGCAUGUCUAUACCAGCUACCUAUUUAAAAUGUGCUACUAUCUAAUGCAUCUUAAAGAACCUAUGUUAUCUAUAAUUUCAUUCAAAUCUAAAAAAAAAGAUAUGAAAUGAUAAAGUUACCAAAUUAGAGUUGUGGAUAAGAAAUUUGAAUGAACCGGGUGACUUUGCAACAAACCAAGUAGAAUGGAGUGAGUGAACUUGAAGAAUCUUCAAGGAACUUUCUCAAAUGGGGUUUGUAAAUGACUUUGGAUAAAAUAAGCUCAAAUGAGGAUUUUUAGUGUUUGCACAAAAUAAAGGAGGAAGAGGGAAAGAUCUAACGCGAGGAUAUGAAACAAAUGCGUCCAAAGAUGCAUCUUUAAAAAAUUAUUGAAUUUUGAAUUAAGAGAUUUUACGAAGAUGCAUCUCCGAACUCACCCUAUUGUUGAAACGAAGAUGCAUCUCUGGAUUAAAUGUUGACAAAAUAAGGGUGCCUCACUAAUCUGCGUUGAUGAUUGUGUUAGAAAGGGUGCAUCCGGAGAUGUCAAGGGAAAUUAUAACUUUUCACGAUGGUAGAGGAGCACCCCAUGGGAUAGGAAAAGUAUUGUUCAAAUUAUAAUUGUGGUAAAGGAGUCUUAGUGAUGUUUGUGGUGUUGUUUCAGUUGAUUUUAAAGAUUUUUUUAAUCAUAUCUAAAAAUAAAAUUACUCGCUGUUAUGAAUGAUUAAUUAAAAAAUCGAUCUAUUCAAUAUAAUUUUAUGUAACUUAAUUAAAAUUAGUUGUUAAAUAUUUAAAUUACAAAUUAUAAUUUAUUAAUAUUUAUAUUAUAAAAAUGUAUCAAAUUAUAGAUUUGAAGUAAUAUGUAACAUAUAAUAUAUUAAAAAAUUGGCUGUGUAAGGAUAAAAAAUAAUGAUAACUAAAAUAAAUAGUUUUUAGCAAAAAUAAUUUCUAUAUAUUAAUCUAAUUUGGCAUAAUAAAAUAAAAGAUAAGAAAUACAAUAAUUUGUUUAUCCAGUUCGAUCAAACGAUUUAUUAUGGAAAAAAUAGUAAUUCUCCGAUUCACUUUAUAAAUAAAAUAAUCAUCCAAAAUUUUAAAAGAAAUUCUAUUUUUUACUCAAGUGUUUGACAAACUUUCAAACAAUUUAUAUAAGAAUCACACAAAUUCAAAAAAUUUAGAAGUGUUUUACGAUCUACGUAGAUAUAUAUUCCAAGGAUUUUUCAAAUUCCAAUAACACACUCUUAUGAGUUUAUCCUUGUCCACUAUCAAACAUUUAUCUCUAUCUUCAACUCUAAAAUUUUUAAGGUUGUGAAUACAAAGAAUAUAGAAAUACAUUUAUAAUCGAUGGAAGUCAAUGAUUCUAUAACAAGUCAAAAACAUAACUCAUUAACGAAUGGAUUCACGAACCAAAUCAAUGAAAUCCAAUACAUUAACGAAUGGAUUCACGAACCAAAUCAAUGAAAUCCAAUACACGCGGAUCGAGAAAGCUCGACAUGGGCUCUGACAGAUCAAACCGAACUGCAUCGUCAGACCUAGACCCAUUAUCGGGUCGCCGCCACCGGCUGCGCCAUUAUGUAGGCUCCAUUGUCGGUCUCCCCGCAGCUGUGCCGUCUUGGUCGACAUUCAGAUUGAUACCUGAUUUUUACAAUCUCAAAACAUAUUUUAUUUUUAUUUUUAUUUUUCUUUAUCACAUGCUUAAAGAAUACAUUUUGUUUGAAAUCUGAUUUAAUGUUCUAACAAUGUUUGAAAUAUGAUUUAAUGUUCUAACAAAUAAAAUGACAAAUUCUAACUACCAUUUCUUUAUUCAUAAGGGAAAAAGUGUCAAUGAAACUUCAUUGUCAACAACACAUAUUGCAUUUUUUUAGAGGUUAUAUCUAGUAACCUGUUUUUAAACUAUCAAGAUUAAAAGAUAAGAAAGGAUAAAUUUAUACUUUCAACAUUAAGGUGAGGCACAUAAAUUAAGAAAGGAUAGUACUAGUAUACCCCAUCUACCCAAUCAUUGUCUCCAUACAAUGCAUAAGCCAAGCAUAAAAAGGAAUAUGGUGAGCACUAACCAACCUUUUGCUUGCAAUUGGUCGAAGUUUUGACAUGUUUAUAAAUUUUCUAGUUUGUUUUAGACGCAUGCUAUGUAUUGUUCAUUCAUCAAUUCUUUCUUGAGUUUUGUUCCAAUUUCUCUAAGUAUUUUUAUACCUUUCUUUUAUUUAAUAAUAUUUUUAGAGUGUGAUAAUUGAUAUAUUAAAAUGUUAUAGUUUGUUAUGUGUUUGUUACUUUUAUACUUUUAAAAAAAAAUUGUUUUAAAAAUUAUAGAAUAUUCAAGUAACAUGCAGCAAGCCAACCUGGCUUUGCAAGGACUUAAUAAUAAGUCCAAAACUCAAUUAAGCUGCCAUUCGUGUGGAUACAUGCCAGUGCCCAUCAAACAAAAACUUCAAAGCUUGACUUGUUUGACCAUUGAGAGAUUAAUUCAAAAUUUAUUUGGUUAUUUCGAUUGUUUUGGUAUAAUUUGUCUCUAACCAUUCUCGAAAAUAGAGCAAAUAGUAUUAAUAUAUAUUGUUGAAAAUGACUUUUUAUUGAAAAUUUUCUUUCGGUUCAUUCAUUGUGGUCCAUCAGGAGUAGAGUAAGACACUUCUUGAUGACAACAUGAAUCCACCAGGCUCAUAGAUAACAAAUGCUAUCAGAAUAAAGGAUAAUUUGACACAUUUUUUAAGGAAUAAAAUUCCUUUUACAUACAUACAUACAUACAUAUAUAUAUAUAUAUAUAAUAUUAUAUAUAUAUAUAUAUAUAUAUAUAUAUAUAUAUAUAUAUAUAUAUAUAUAAUACAUAUAUAUAUAUAUAUAUAUAUAUAUAUAUAUAUAUAUAUAUAUAAACCCCACUAUCCAUUUUGAAUGUUAAAGUCAACUAUAUCUAUUACUGUAAUUUAUAGGACACUAUAUUAAUAUUGUUAUGGAUGGUAUUUUAGACUCUUCGUAAAAUUAAAACGGUCAAAGACAAUAAAUAUGAAUUUAUAUGGAUUGUCAGAACAUAUUUUUUCAUUUUUAACUUCUUGAAGUGGUAUUAAAGACGGUUUGUCUCAUAGUAAAACGUCUAGACCUCGGUUCCACCAAUGGAGAAAUCUCAAUCAAGUUCACACGCAUAUGUUUUUCUUCUAUCCAACCAUAUAAAAGAAUAUUUGUUGACCUAAGCGUCGAUCUCCUCUUCUGUGCAUCAAAAAAUUCACAUGCACCUUCUUCUUAACAUAUAAUUAUAUCUUCCAAAAUAUAUAAAAUAAUACAUCCUAAUAAAUUCAUGUCGGCACUUUAAGUCUCUAAGCUCCUUAAAAUGAAUAAUGUGUUUCUCAAAUGUACCCAAAUACGUCUUACGACAAAAUGACAAACCUCGUCCAUAGGAAAUAAGGGAAUCAUAGGACAAUAUCUAAGGAUUUUACGAUACUCUACCGAUGACAUGUGUUGACGUAACCCACCAAUAGGAAUAGCAAAGGAAAAAUCCCGAGCAUGUGCGGCUUGCACAUAACCAACAUCUCCUUUCUAUCUUGGAGUCAUAUCAAACUUUACGUCUAUAUCUUGAAUACUUUUACUAAAAAACACUCGCCAAAAUAUGUUUUGUUUUAGGAGAGUUGGUGUCUUGCUAAUAAAAUAGCUAAUAUCAAAAUUUAUGGCCUAUUUGGAUAAACAUCAUAUUUGCAGCUUAUAACACAAGUGCUUAGCAAAGUAAGUGCUUAUGAAUACACUCGCCUAAGUUAUUUUUUUAACAAAAGAUAAAAUAAUUUUAAAAUGUUUUUAUAUAUUUUAUAAGUUGUUUUUAUUAUCUAUCUUGAAGAAUUUAUAAAAAUAAAUUAAAGAAAAUUAUGAAAAAUGUCAUAAGCUAUUUUGAUUAAGUCUUCCAAAUAGUGUCAUAAAAUUUAUGAUAGUAGAUAGGCUCAAAUAAGCCUAUCCAAAUAGAUCAUAAUGUUGAUAAUGUAUCAAGUGUGAGUAGUGUGGAUAAUAAUCCUACAUUGGUUGAAAAUGUGGAGACUUGAGCAUUUAUAAGUAAGAGAAUCCACUCACCUAUCACCUUAAGAUUUUGGGUGAAUAUAUGGUAUGUCUCUCACAAAGGUGUUGCUCUAAGAAAAAGAAGUCUCACAAUGUUCAAUGCUCCCUAGUGAAAACCCCCCCAACAAAUGGGGUAUCAGAGCUCCGGUUUAAACGGUUUGUGGAAAGAAAAUCACCAUGGCAGCGAAUCAUCCAAAUCAUCCAAACAGUCAUUUUCCAGCAAAUCUCUGAUUCUCAAGAACAACAAUUAUGAGAAUUGGUGCAAGCAGAUAAAAGUUGUGUUCUGUUAUCAAGAUCUUUGGGAUCUUGUGAAGGAAGGAGUAGCAACGCUUGCAGAAGCCGCGACAGAUCAAGAAAAGUCUGCACAUAAAGAAUUGAAGAAGAAAGAUUAUAAAGCUCUCUUUAUAAUCCAUCAAUCUGUUGAUGCAGAUAACUUUGAAAAAGUUAGUGAUGCAGAGUCAGCGAAAGAAACAUGGGAAAUUAUGGAGAAAUCGUUUGGAGGCGCGGAAAAGGUGAAAGAGGUGAGGUUACAAACUCACAAAAGAACGUAUGAAUUGUUUCAGAUGGAAGACAAUGAAAGCAUAAGUGAUUUUUUCACCAAGGUUAUGAAACUGAACGUAUGAAUUGUUUCAGAUGGAAGACAAUGAAAGCAUAACUGAUUUUUUCACCAAGGUUAUGAAACUGAACGUAUGAAUUGUUUCAGAUGGAAGACAAUGAAAGCAUAACUGAUUUUUUCACCAAGGUUAUGAAACUGGUGAAUCAAAUCAAGGUAUGUGGAGAAGUGUUGACAUCAAGAUCCGUUGUUGGAAAGAUCUUGAGGUCGUUGACUCCAAAGUUUGACCACGUGGUAGUAUCCAGAGAAGAGUCGAAAGAUUUGUCAAAACAAAGGAAGAGCUUCAAGGGACGCUUGAAUCUCAUGAACAAAGAAUGGCUGAAAAAGCUGCAGGAAAGUCGAAGACUGAUAUGACUUUGCAGGCUCAAUCAAAAAAAGAAAGAAAAGGAAAAGGAAGUUGGAAUGACAACAAAGGUAGAGGAGGUUACAACAAUUCUACUGGUCAAAAUCAGCAAGAAGGAAACUGGUCAAAUCAGAGAAAAUCCUGGAACCAAGGCAACCAAAGAGGUGGUGUUGUAGGUAGAGGAAGAGGUGGUGGUUAAAAUCCAGACAAGAGUCACAUUCAGUGUUACAAUUGUCAAAGGUAUGGUCACUAUUCUAGUGAUUGUCCAAAAAAGCAGAAGAAUCAAGAAACUUAUGCAAAGCUGGCGAAACAUGAAGAAGAAGAGACAUUGUUGAUGGUUACAACAAGAGAUGAAGAGAGAUUCAAGGACCAAUGGUACUUGGACUCAGGAUGCUCAUCGCACAUGUCUGGAAGGAAAGAUUGGUUUAUCAACAUAGAUCCCUCAAUGAAGAACAUGGAAAAUUUGCAAAUGACAAUACUCUAACAGCUGAAGGUGUUGGUGAUGUUCUGAUUAUGAGGAAAGAUGGCAAGAAGUCAAUAAUUUCAAAUGUGUUGUACAUACCAGGCAUGAAGAGCAAUUUGCUCAGCAUAGGACAGUUAUUCGAAAAUAACUACAAGGUGUCAAUCGAAGACAAGAUGAUGGGAGUUCUCGACUCAAAUGGAAGGUUAAUCUUGAAGGCUCCAAUGUCUCAGAAUAGAAACUUAAAGAUUUAGCUUAAUGUGAUGGAGCAUAAGUGCCUUACAACAGCAGUCAUCAGAUAUGAAUGGAUAUGGCAUUAUACACUUGGUCAUCUCUAUUUCAAAGACAUCAGAUAUUUGAAGAGAAGAAAUAUAGUUUCAGGAUUACCAGAAAUCGAUAUUCCAAACAAAGUGUGUGAAGAAUGUUUGCAGGCGAAGCAUCACAAGAACAACUUCAGUAAGGAUGCAAGAAGCAGGUCGAAGGAAAUUCUUGAAGUCAUAUACUCUGAUGUAUGUGGUCCUCUCCAGGUGGAUUAGAUUGGAGGUAACAAAUACUUUGUUAUAUUCAUAGAUGAUUUCAGUUGAAAACUGUGGUCUUACCUGACUAAGAAGAAAAGUGAAGUGAUCGAGGUAUUUGCCAAGUUUAAAUCUAUGGUCGAAAGAUCAAGAUUUUAAGGACUGAUGGUGGUGGAGAAUAUGUCUCGAAAUACUUCAAUGCGUUAUGUGUGAAUGAAGGGAUUGUGCAUGACGUGGUGCCACCCUACACUCCACAACAUAAUGGAGUCGCAUAAAGGAAGAAUAUAACCAUUAUGAAUAUGGUUAGAAGUAUGUUAAAAGACAAGCAUUUAUCCAAAGAAUUAUGGGGAGAAGCUGUGUCGAUUGUGACAUAUAUCCUGAACAGAUGUCCGACGAAGAAGCUAGAAGGAAUCACGCCAGAAGAAUGUUGGUCUGGUGUCAAGCCUAACUUGAGUCAUCUGAAGGUGUUUGGAUCUAUAGCACAUAGACAUGUGCCAGAUUAGUUGAGAAUAAAACUUGAUGACAAGUCGAAUCAGAUGAUCCUGAUAGGAUAUCAUUCGUCUGGAGGAUACAAGUUGUUCGACCCAAUGAAUAAGCAAGUGGUGAUCAGUAGGGACAUGAUCAUAGAUGAGCUUAAGGAGUGAGAUUGGACUGAGAAUGUCAAGAAAGAUUCAGUGAGAAUCUUUUGUGAUGAACUAGCUAGUGAAGUCGAAAGAGAAGUUCGACAGGAAGAAGUCAGAGGUGAAGCAUGCCCAAGCAGACCUCAAAGAACAAGACAUAUGCCUGCAAGGUUGCAAUAAUGUGUGAUUACAUCAGAUGAUAUGGUCAACGAAGAAGGUGAGCUGGUACACUAUGCUUUCUAUGCAUAUGUUGAACCAAUCAAUGCAGCUGAGGCAUUGAAAGAUUCAAAUUAGAUGAAAGCAAUGGACGAAGAUUUGAAGUGAAUCGAAGUCAACAACACUUGGUCACUUAUCGAAUUUCCCCAAGACAAGAAGGUAAUCAAUGUGAAGUGGGUAUAUAAGGUGCAAUUGAAUCCCAGAGGAGAAGUGAAUCGACACAAAGCAAGACUUGUGGAGAAAGGAUUUCUUCAGAAAGAAGGAAUCGACUUCGAUUAAGUUUUUGCACCUAUUGCUAGGAUCGAAACAAUCAGGUUGGUUGUUGGUCUAGCAAAUAUGAACAACUGGCAGAUGUCUCAGAUGGAUGUGAAAUGUGCAUUUCUUAAUGGCCCAUUAAAAGGAGAAGUUUAUGUUGCACGACCAGCCGGGUUUGUGAAACAAGGCGAAGAAUAAAAGGUGUACAGGCUGCAUAAAGCCCUGUACGGACUUAAACAAGCUCCAAGAGCUUGGAACAAGAAGAUAGAUGACUUUCUAAGGAAGAUGGAAUUCGUGAAGUGCAAAUCUGAACAUUGAGUAUAUGUAAGAAGAAGCAAGAGUGAAUUGCUUAUACUAUAUCUCCAUGUCGAUGACCUGUUGAUAACAGGUUGUUGUAAGAAAGAGAUCGAAGACUUCAAAGGUGAUAUCAACAAGGAAUUUGAAAUGUCAGAUUUGGGUGACAUUUCAUAUUUCCUUGUCAUCGAAUUAUACAAGAGUGGUAUAGGUUUGAUGAUGCAUCCAAGAAGGUAUGCAAGCGAAAUACUUAAGAGAUUUAAGAUGCAAGAUUGCAACCUAACUUCGACUCCAUCUGAGCCCAGAUUACAACUAUCAAAAGAUUCAGAUUCAGAUGAUGUCGAUCCAACCCAAUAUAGAAGACUUAUUGGGUCACUUUGAUACCUUUGUCAUACAAGGCAUGACUUAGCAUACAAUGUAGGUAUGAUGAGGAGGUUCAUGCAGAAGCCAAAGGUAUCACAUGUAGCAGCGACAAAGAGGAUACUAAGGUAUCUGAAAGGAACUCUCGACUAUGGUAUUUUGUUUCCUGCAGCUAAUGAAGGAAAAUAAUGCAAACUAGUGGAAUACACUGGCUUAAGUUGGUGUAGUGAUGCUGAGGAUCGAAAAUCCACAGCGGGCUAUGUGUUUAUGCUAGGUGGUGCACCAGCUGCUUGGAGUUCGAGAAAGCAGCCAAUAAUGGAAUUAUCAUCAUGCGAAGCAGAAUAUAUAGUUUCUUCUCUUUGUGCAUGUCAAACAACAUGGAUGGUGAAUCUGGUCGAAGAGAUAACAACGAAGAGUCAUGGAGCAAUUACCAUGAAGAUCGACAACAUGUCAGCUAUCAAUCUGGCGAGGAAUCCGAUAGCACAUGGUCGAAGCAAGCACAUCAAGAUGAGUUUCCAUUAUCUUCAAGAGCAGGUAACAAAUGGGAAGAUGAAUGUGGAACACUACAAAACUGAGAAUCAGAUUGCAGACAUCAUGACGAAGGGAGUGCAAGUCGAAGUGUUCAGAAGACAAAGAGCUAUGAUGAAUGUAGAUAGCUUAGACACAAUGAAUUAAGUGGUGUGUUGAAUUGUAAUUCCUUGUGUCGAAGCAGGUUACUCGACAGAAGCAAGGAAAUAUCGAACCACCUAGUGUGUUGAGUUGUGUUAGUGUGUCGAAGUGUCAAAGCAUGUUGCUUCGCACAAGAUUUCGACCUAGGCCUAUUUUAGUAGUGUUAACUAUUUCACGCUUUUAUAGUUUUGGGCUUUGGCUUGAGGUCCAAGUUAACCUAAAUUUAUAAAUAGAGGGAGUAACCCUUACUCUUGUAAUGAAGUGAAUAGAGUAUUCAUAACAUUGUAUUCACAGUAUUUUGCAGUUGCAAAGUGAAUAAGAAGUUUUCCAUAAUUUGUGGACAGAGAGAAACUCUGUAGAAUUUUAAUCUUCAUCAAGAUUGAUUGAAAUUCUCCAUUGUUUUUGGGUGAAUAUGUGAUGUGUCUCUCACAAAGGCGUUUCUCUAAAAAAAAGGAAGUCCCACAAUGUUCAAUGCUCUCUAGUGAAAAAACUCCCCCAACAAAUGGUAUCAUGAGCAUUUGGUUCGAGAAAUGGACCGACUUACUUGUAUUAAAAAUCAAUGGUGCCAGUGUGGUGAAUAAGAAAUGUUCUGUGCGGUACAAGAGUUUGUAGAAGUAAGAAGAACUUUCACUUGAUGGAGAGCAUUAUGGACUCACACUUGAGGGGGAGUGUUGAGAAUGUAUCAAGUGUGAGUAGUGUGGAUAAUAGUCCCACAUUAGUUAAAAAUAUGGAGACUCAAGCAUUUAUAAGUAAGAGAGCCCACCCACCUAUCGCCUUAAGAUUUUGGAUGAAUAUGUGGUGUGUCUCUCACAAAGAGGUUGCUCUAAGAAAAAGAAGUCUCACAAUGUUCAAUGCUCCCUAGUGAAAAACUCCCCCAACACAUAAGACCAUUCAAAGCAUUGUCGAAAUCAGAGUUUAUACCAUAUAUUCCACUAUUUCUCAAUAUAUGAUAUAAUAACAUCUAAUAUUGAGUUCUAGAAAAAAAAAGCGUAUGAGACAUCCUCUAACAACUGACUACAAACCCAAUCCCUCAUUCUAAUGAGUAAAGAAACCACCUUCUAUUAAAGGCCUCUGAAGAAAGGACCUUUGUCAACCACAAUGUCUUCAACCGCUUUUUGCAACUCUUGAUCAAACUAAAUAGUUGAUUUCUCCAUAUGAUUAGAUUGACACAUUCUUAGAUUGAAAAAUAGUUUAUCGAUACCCAUACAAAAUCGAAAUAGAACAAACUUAUUAUGAAAAUCUCUUAGUUGUGGCAGAAGAUACAUUAACUUAAUAGUCCUAAUAAUUCUCUUCAUAAAAAAUCCUUCAAUAAAACCUAUAUCUCGACUAACAUGUCAUUCAAACAACUUCAUCUUAAAUAUGAUUAUAUAAUAAAUAAGAAUAAGAUAUAAACUAAUUUCCUCACUUUUCCAAUUCUAGACAGCUAAAAAGACAUGGAAAAUUUGCUUUAGAAAAGGCUUCUUAAUAAAUAACAAAUUGAAAACUCAAAAAUAAAGAUGUAAAGUGAAUAAACCAUUACAUAGUUGAAUACGGACCUACCAACCACUAUGUCAAUGGUUAUGAACUUAACAUUAAAAAGGGUGCUAUCCCUUUAUUAGCAGGUAUUUUAUGUAUCUUAUUUGCCUUUCAAAUCUUCAAUCAUGACUAAGAAUAAUGUUUUGUGCUCGACAAAAUCAUUCUAAGUCUAGCAACAUUUUUAAUGGAGAAAAACUACUUUGAAUAACAAGUUUUGUGUUCAUAUGAACCUUUCCUAAAUACAAUGUUUGGUGUGAAAAUGAAACAAUGAUGGAAUGCGAUUUAUCAUCUUUAAUCAUAUAGAUGAGCUUUAAAAUGUAUGAACUACAAUUAGUUUGAGGAAUAUAAUACUAUUGUGGAGGAAAAUAAUAUUUGGGCUUGCAUUUUUUAUUGCUUUACUAGAUGUUCAUUAUUGCUUCUAUUAUGUGGUUUUGAAAAUAUUAAAAUCAUUCCUUCUUUUUAUUUUCAUUUUUUAGUUUUUCUUUUGUGCCUAUCAAAUGCAUAUUAAUCAUAGCUAUAAUUCGGUGUUGGAUAUCAUCUAACGGUUUCUCGUACGUCAAAUAUGAUAUGUUUUAACUAUAAUUUAUUCUCACACCAUUUUUCAUUUAAAAUAUUGAUCUUACAAAUUAAUUAUUUUUUGUCAUUUCAAAAACUUGCUCCUUCGCGUAAAAAAUCUUACUUCGAUCCAUUAAGACUUCGUUACACAUUUCAUGAAAAGUUUCUUUUUGAAACAUAAAUAAAUGUGAUUUAGAAUUAUUAUUUUUUGAGUAUAGUACUUGCACUUUUAAGCACUAAAACAUAUAAAAAAAUAGUUGGUAUCUGAAGUUUUGUUGAAUAUUGAUAACAUAUAAAUAAAAAUAAUUUAACAAAACUUUAAAAUAUGAAAGUGAUCGUACAAAUAAAACAUGAUUUUUAUAUUCGGCGGUAGCAAAUUACCGGCUUAAAUCAUCUGUCCUUAAAAAUUGUCGUUAUGUGAAGUGAAUCAUGCAUCUGCAUGAGUCUAUUCAUGACAUAUAGAUACACCAAAAAAAAA
RNAcentral lists this long non-coding RNA (19472 nucleotides) under Lathyrus oleraceus (garden pea). Its description in RNAcentral is "Pisum sativum (pea) long non-coding RNA (PSAT_LNC008509)". Lineage: Eukaryota; Viridiplantae; Streptophyta; Magnoliopsida; Fabales; Fabaceae. The record is from RNAcentral.